AAACACCAGGAAGGAAAAUGAAGAUGGUCACAGCCGAAGCUAGGUACUAAGGAGGGAAGAGAAUUUAGCCCCGAAAGAACAUUGAUAAGAAAAGCAGGGUAGUACAUUGCUGGACAUCAAUGCAUGCCUGGAUGGAGACUUGAGGCACUUCCACUGGCAGACAGAGUAGAGGAGCACAGAACUUCAGGGAUCGCCUGUGGAUAAGAAGACAAAGCAAGAACAUCACAAAGGGUCAUUUAAGCAGGUACUAUACAAAAGUGGAUUUUAAGUGAACCAUGUGAACACUUAAGUGGAUGAGAAAAAUGUUCUUGAACUCGGAGCAGUACAAGGCAAAGAUACAGUUUAAAAUACAAAUGAGAACAGUCUAAACAGAAAACACACAUGCACACACACUUCUGCUUGAAUUACUAUUGUUGCAUUUGUUUUACAUAAAUUAUGAGAGAGAAGGUAGUUAUGGCACUAUAGUCUUCAAGUCUGUUAGCAACUGUACACAGGUUUAUAGCUUUGCUGCUCAGGUGUGUUAACUAAUUUACUUACA
This 538-nucleotide long non-coding RNA is filed under the name Anser brachyrhynchus (Pink-footed goose). Its description in RNAcentral is "lncRNA (ENSABRG00000014653.1)". Lineage: Eukaryota; Metazoa; Chordata; Aves; Anseriformes; Anatidae. The record is from RNAcentral.